This 253-nucleotide ribosomal RNA is filed under the name uncultured bacterium. Its description in RNAcentral is "partial 16S ribosomal RNA". It matches the Rfam family "Bacterial small subunit ribosomal RNA", at positions 524 to 776 of the family's 1533-position model. The record is from RNAcentral.
UACAGAGGGGGCAAGCGUUGUUCGGAAUUACUGGGCGUAAAGGGCGCGUAGGCGGCCCGCUAAGUCGAACGUGAAAUCCCCGAGCUCAACUCGGGAACUGCGUCCGAUACUGGCGGGCUUGAAUCCGGGAGAGGGAUGCGGAAUUCCAGGUGUAGCGGUGAAAUGCGUAGAGAUCUGGAGGAACACCGAUGGCGAAGGCAGCCUUCUGGGCCAACACUGACGCUCAUGCACGAAAGCGUGGGGAGCAAACAGG